CUAAUACAUGCAAGUCGAGCGGACAGAUGGGAGCUUGCUCCCUGAUGUUAGCGGCGGACGGGUGAGUAACACGUGGGUAACCUGCCUGUAAGACUGGGAUAACUCCGGGAAACCGGGGCUAAUACCGGAUGGUUGUUUGAACCGCAUGGUUCAAACAUAAAAGGUGGCUUCGGCUACCACUUACAGAUGGACCCGCGGCGCAUUAGCUAGUUGGUGAGGUAACGGCUCACCAAGGCAACGAUGCGUAGCCGACCUGAGAGGGUGAUCGGCCACACUGGGACUGAGACACGGCCCAGACUCCUACGGGAGGCAGCAGUAGGGAAUCUUCCGCAAUGGACGAAAGUCUGACGGAGCAACGCCGCGUGAGUGAUGAAGGUUUUCGGAUCGUAAAGCUCUGUUGUUAGGGAAGAACAAGUACCGUUCGAAUAGGGCGGUACCUUGACGGUACCUAACCAGAAAGCCACGGCUAACUACGUGCCAGCAGCCGCGGUAAUACGUAGGUGGCAAGCGUUGUCCGGAAUUAUUGGGCGUAAAGGGCUCGCAGGCGGUUUCUUAAGUCUGAUGUGAAAGCCCCCGGCUCAACCGGGGAGGGUCAUUGGAAACUGGGGAACUUGAGUGCAGAAGAGGAGAGUGGAAUUCCACGUGUAGCGGUGAAAUGCGUAGAGAUGUGGAGGAACACCAGUGGCGAAGGCGACUCUCUGGUCUGUAACUGACGCUGAGGAGCGAAAGCGUGGGGAGCGAACAGGAUUAGAUACCCUGGUAGUCCACGCCGUAAACGAUGAGUGCUAAGUGUUAGGGGGUUUCCGCCCCUUAGUGCUGCAGCUAACGCAUUAAGCACUCCGCCUGGGGAGUACGGUCGCAAGACUGAAA
Molecule: ribosomal RNA, 870 nt
Filed under: Bacillus sp. W-3
Lineage: Bacteria; Bacillati; Bacillota; Bacilli; Caryophanales; Bacillaceae
Description: bacterial SSU rRNA
Rfam family: Bacterial small subunit ribosomal RNA
Source: RNAcentral